Molecule: transfer RNA, 86 nt
Filed under: Diaporthe ampelina
Lineage: Eukaryota; Fungi; Ascomycota; Sordariomycetes; Diaporthales; Diaporthaceae
Rfam family: tRNA
About the family: Transfer RNA (tRNA) molecules are approximately 80 nucleotides in length. Their secondary structure includes four short double-helical elements and three loops (D, anti-codon, and T loops). Further hydrogen bonds mediate the characteristic L-shaped molecular structure. tRNAs have two regions of fundamental functional importance: the anti-codon, which is responsible for specific mRNA codon recognition, and the 3' end, to which the tRNAs corresponding amino acid is attached (by aminoacyl-tRNA synthetases). tRNAs cope with the degeneracy of the genetic code in two manners: having more than one tRNA (with a specific anti-codon) for a particular amino acid; and 'wobble' base-pairing, i.e. permitting non-standard base-pairing at the 3rd anti-codon position.
Source: Rfam by way of RNAcentral
GGGCGUUUGGUUUAGUGGUAUAAUGUUCGCUUCGCACUUUUCCGCAUGCAUGCGAAAGGUCGCCGGUUCGAUUCCGGCAUCGUCCA